RNAcentral lists this long non-coding RNA (5298 nucleotides) under Mus musculus (house mouse). RNAcentral's name for it is "long non-coding RNA chr17:31912190-31917488". The record is from RNAcentral. Lineage: Eukaryota; Metazoa; Chordata; Mammalia; Rodentia; Muridae.
AGCCUCUGGCUACUACAUGCUGAGCUCGUGUGCGUGCAUGCACGCUUGCUUACACACACACACACACACACACACACACACACACACACACACACACACGACAAGCGAGUGAUUCUCCAAAACAAAUUCAGGCAGAAGGGCAGGUAGGCUCUGAAGCGUUUACCUAGGCCGUGGCUGGCAGCCUGAGAACACCCUUCCCUCCGUGUCAAGUCUGUACUCAAAGAAGAAAAACUUAAACAAAUAAAUAAACAAAAAAAGCAGCUGAGCAGGGCAGCCGCACCCAGCAUCCUGGCCGCGGCGGGAACAUUCCGUCUCGGAACCCCGGUGGGUCUCUGUUUGUGCAGGCAGAGCUGUCUGACGCCAUUGCCCGCAGCUGGCAUCUCUGCCCUGGAGCCUCAGCGCCAUGGCCCAACCCUCCCUCUGUGGGCUGGGCCUUUCAGGACUACAUCUGUGAGCACUGUGCUGGUAAGCUGACAGAGGGUCAGUACCGGGCUCGGCUACACCCUUCGCUAUAGUAGAGAUGUCAUUGUCCCCAACCCCGCAGAGUAGCAAAGACCUGAGAGAAGCCCCGACAGCAUCCUGUCCACAAGGAAGAUUCCUCAUCUUGACUGCAGCCUGCUCUCCCUUCAAUAGAGAGAGACAAGAUCCCUACCUCGUGCCAUGGGGCCCAGAGGAGACAAGAUUAAUGGAUGGGUAAUAUGUUGGGCAACGUGCAGUGGGGCUGUUUGGCACGUCCCUUUAUCUUUCUGUCGCUUGGGUGACGCCUUAUACAGAACUAAGGGACACACAGCUGCCUGGGCUGGUGAUUGCCUUGAUUUUCACUAAAUCCUUUCUACCGUGAUCACUGCCGGCGAGCAGCUCUUCUGAACUCUUCCAGCAUCUGGAACAGCCUGGACCGGCAGAAACACCCACAGAUGUAAUUAGCCCAGGAAGCUGAGCUGCGUCACCUCACACGGGUUCUGAAGCUCCGGUGUUUGCUGCCCCUUGCUCAUUCCCACGCGUAUUUUUAAGCCUUCCUGCCUGGCUGCCUGGCUUGAGGUAUCCCUGGGGCUCAAGUGAUGUGUGUUGACAUUCUCCCGAAGUUACAGAAGUCCUUAAUGAUCCAAAUUUAAAAUAUCAUCUCCCCAGACAGAUAGAUUGGUGGUGAUCUGCCUCUGGACUAGAUUGGUUCAAAUUAAAUUUGACCUAAGGAGGCCUCCGGAGGGGUGCCUAGGUCAGACUUUGCAGCCUGGUGUGGCCAACUAAGCCUAGUGGCUCUAUAACAAAAGCAGGCCUGGCUGCUGCUGGCCCAACCAAUCACAGGCAGAGGUUGGACUCAAGCCAGCCUCAGAUCUUGCUCAGGAGAUCUGCACGGUCCCCAUCACUGUGCCUCCAUCCGGCUGGAUUUCCAGGGCAUGCUGCCUGACAGAACUGGGAACCUUUCUGAGGGAUGCCUGGGCCAAGCGUCAGAGGAGCUGAGGACCCAGGCACACCUGCUCUCACUUUGUCUUCAGGAAUUGAUUUUUAACCUUCUUUCUUGGGGGGGGGGGGUUACAUGUGUGUGGUUCGUGCACACACUUAUGUGUUCCAGCCUAUGUGUUUGAAGAGACCAGAGGAAGCCCUUGGGCAUUCUACUCUGUCACUCUCUGCCUUGUUCCUUUGAGACAGGCUCUCUCACAGAACCCGGAACUAGGCCAGACAACCUCAGCAAUCUCUGUGUCCGCUCCACCCCACAGCACUGGGUAACAGACGUGCGUGGCUUUUAUCGUGGGUGCUGGGAUCCAAACUCAGGUCCUGGUGCCUGCACAGUCAAGUGUGUGACUGGCUGAGCCUUCUCUCCAUUCCUGUAACAGUGUAACAUCUGGGUGGAGUUGCCUUCACCUAGACAUCCCUCAAAUAGCUAGUCAGCGAUCCCUUUAUCUUUUAACUUUAUCCCUGUGAACUUUUAUUAUGAAAUUACCUUACACAAUCAUAGACAAGCAUAUAGCAACUACCCUGUACCCAACUCCCCUGCCACCUCCAAUACUGUCCAAGGACCAGCGGCACCCUGCCCCAACCCCCUGCCAUACAACCCCUGACAUAUUUCCUCCUUUCGGUGAUCACUGGGCAGAGGCAUCUCAGGAUGGUAAUUACUUGUAGAAUAAUCCCAAUACCAUGAUCAAUUCCAGGAAAAGAGCUUGACACCCGCCCCCACUCCCGCCCCCCAGGUUUGUCACAGCUGUGGCUUUUGUCUGUCAGCAGUCUGGCUUCACUUGAAGGUUGGGGUCUAGGCUGUGUCCAGGGCUGCACAUGGCCACCAGGUCUCCUGCAUCUGUUUUUUUUUUUUUCCCCAUGUGUUUGUUGAGGAAGCGUCAUGCUCUCCUAGUUCCCAGAUUACUCAUGGCCUGUGGUACUGUUCAGCAUGGUCUCUGUCUGAGUCAGGGUUUCUAUUACUGCGACAAAACACCAUGACCAAACAGCAGGUUGGGAAGGAAAGUGUUUACCUGGCUUAUACUUUCACACUGCUGUUCAUCCCUGAAGGAAGUCAGGACAGGAACUCAAGCAGGGCACGAACCUGGAGGCAGGAGCUGAUGCAGGUUAUGGAGGGUGCUGCUUACUGACUUGUUCCCCUCGGCUUGCUCAGCCUGCUUUCUUAUAGAACCCAGGAUCACCAGCCCUGGGAUGGCACCACCCACAAGAAGCUGGGUCUUCCCCUGUCAGUGGUUAAUUAAGAGAAUGCCCUACAGCUGGAUCGUAUGGAGACAUUUUCUCAAUCGAGGCACCCUCCUUUCAGAUAACUCUAGCUUGUGUCAAGUUGACAUAAAACUAGCCAGCACAGUCUUCUGUCUUCUGAAAACCUAUGGUUAGGGUAUAGUGUCCCUUUGGUGGUCGUGUGGAGCAGGCUGGCCUUGAACUCAGAGAUCCACCUACCACUGCCUCCCAAGUGCUGUGAUUAAAGGCAUGCGCUACCACUGCCCAGGCCCUUAGCUGACGUCCUCUGUGGAAUUUCCCUCCACCAUUGUUAGCCAGCACAGAUGAUAAAUCCUCGAAGCUGCCUCUUUAUCAGCUUACAGAAUAGUGGCUUUGUUCCCUAUCUGUCUCCAAAGACGAAGAGUUGAUGAACUACAUUUACAAAACCUCACUAUGAUGUCUGGGAGUGUGAGAUGUGUGUCACUUGAGUGUGAGUGUGCCCUCAGACCUGUGUGCUGAAUGCCUAGACCUCAGGUGGUGAGGUGGUGAACUCUACAUAUGUCAGGAGGUAAGCCAGCUGGGAAAGAAACUGAUUGAGGUCUGUCUCUUGUCUCUGAUGUCUUUCUGCCACAUUUGUGAAUACGCACCUCUGUGUGUGUGUGUGUGUGUGUUGGAGGUCUGGCCUGUGGACAGGCCCAGAUGGGGAAGGACUGUGAGAAUUGGCUGUGGGGACCAGCCAUCAGCAAGACUGGAUCCUGAAGCAGUGUGUGUGUGUGUAUGGGUGUGUGUGUGUGUAUGGGUAUGUGUGUGGCACUUACUGGUUUGCUGUGUCAUGGCUACAGGGAGCCACGUAUGUCGUCAUUCUGUCUCUCUCUCUGCAAAACUGUGAGAAAAUGGUUUGUUGCCUAGUCUCAGAGCACUCGGAGGGACAGGUGUGUUUACCUCAGUGACUCUGCUGCCCGUGGCCACUGGGUGGCUGGUUAAAGUUUGUGCUAGGCUGCUUGCUUGGUGAGAUCGGCGCAGAGGAUGAAGGGAUUGCUGACCGGCUAUUUGAGGGAUGUCCGGCGUGGGUGACUCCACCCAGAUGUCGACACUUCGCCCUGACUUGCUCCAACAGGUGCUUGUAGUGGAAAUAUGAGGGCAUGGAGUUCUUCUCGGAGCUCGGCCUUCUUAGAAAAUGGGGGAGGGGUGAAGGGCACAGGCCCUUGGGGUCCAUGGAGGAGGGGCAGGAAGGACAGGGAAGCACUGCACAGUCUGGGAGAGGACUUGCCUUUGGGAUCCUUUAACACAUUCCAGACUCAAAAUGAGCACCAGGAGGCGGGGCUUGCUGGCAACACAUGGCCUCACCAGGUCUGAGAGUCCUUAAGACAUCAAGUAAUUGACACAGUUCUGCCAAGUGAGCGUGUGAUGGCCACACUCUGUACCCAGACACUUGAGCAGUACCUCCCACCCCCACCCCUGUCCCCACCACGGCCCCCAACCUGCCCACUGGGGAUACAGGGCCAUUAUGGGGCAGGAGCACGGCCCGUGUACCAACCAGGUCCCUGUAGAUCUUCAUCACUUGUAAACGCUCCCUGCCCAGGACGGUCCUCUGUGGCAUACAGAACACUCCUUCCACCCAAAGGGCCAAGGGCAGAGAACUGGGUUGGCAGCCUGAGUUCUCAGCUGAGUCAGGGCCCCGCUCUGGCUCUCCAGGCCCUCUUGUCUCCAUGGGCUUCGGGUUCCUGCUGCAUCGGUAGGAACGUUGCUGUGCUUGGAGCUGUGUCCAUGCCAGCAGCUGGGCUAGAGCCCUGCCAGGCAGUAUGUCCCCAGGGAGGAGGGUCAGCCGAGGCUGGAAAGCCACAAGCUGAGAAGUAGUGACGUUGUCCAGCAGCUUUGCUGUGUCCCCAGUCUUGCUGGCUGCUGAACACAGAGACACAUCUACAAACACCCUAGCUACGAGGCUAGUGGCUGGAGGUGUCUCUGGCUGUACUGCCCGGUAGUCAGCCAGGACUACCGCCUCACCCCACAGAAAGCCAUCAAGCACAUGCAUGCACUUGAAUGUAUACCAGCUGCGCAGUGUGCAUGUGUCUCUUGCGGUCACGGCUCACCUGUAUCCAUGCACGUGCGACCAGCACACACCUGUUGCUGACAUCUGCUCUACGCAGACACAGCAGUUGUGAAGCACAGCGGCUCAAUGACACACGGGGAACCCCAGGACCAAAAUCACCCCGUCGGAAGCAGGAGAUGAAUGGAGCGACAUUUCGAGACAUGGCGUACAGACACCAGCUGAAUUCCUACAAAUUCACAUGAGCACUCUGAAAGGGAAGCUAAGAAACAAUUACAUAGGUGAUGGUGUCAGAUUGGGUAAAAUCCCUUAGGAACGGGAGAGGAGGUAGAUGAUUUACACCCAAACUAUCAAAUGUUUAUUAAAGGAAUUAAAGAUGUGCAAAGACAGCCCACGCUCAUGCCUUGGAAGAUUUCCAAAAGAGUUUCUUGUUAUGCAGCCCAGGCUGGCCCCGAAGUUGUAAUCCCCCUGCCUCAGCCUCCAAAUACUGGAUUACAGUACUAAUUAGAAGACUUAACAAUGCACAGGCAUUAAUGCUAGCCAAAGCAAUAUACAGGCUCAAUGCAAUUACAUACUAAAAGUCCAACAACAGUGUUUAAAGG